UACGAAGGGGGCUAGCGUUGUUCGGAUUUACUGGGCGUAAAGCGCACGUAGGCGGACUAUUAAGUCCGGGGUGAAAUCCCGGGGCUCAACCCCGGAACUGCCUUUGAUACUGGCAGUCUUGAGUUCGAGAGAGGUGAGUGGAAUUCCGAGUGUAGAGGUGAAAUUCGUAGAUAUUCGGAGGAACACCAGUGGCGAAGGCGGCUCACUGGCUCGAUACUGACGCUGAGGUGCGAAAGCGUGGGGAGCAAACAGG
Molecule: ribosomal RNA, 253 nt
Filed under: uncultured bacterium
Lineage: Bacteria
Description: partial 16S ribosomal RNA
Rfam family: Bacterial small subunit ribosomal RNA
Source: RNAcentral